UAGCGUAAUCACUUGUUCUUUAAUUGAGGACUAGUAUGAACGGCCCCACGAGGACUACACUGUCUCCUUUUUCUAAUCAAUGAAACUGAUCUCCUCGUGAAGAAGCGAGGAUAAAUAUAUAAGACGAGAAGACCCUAUGGAGCUUUAAACAAUCGGGGUACUUGCUAAUUCCUAAUUCACUUCCUGAAAAGCUAAACAAAUUAGAGCAUCUUACCCCCUAGUUUUAGGUUGGGGUGACCACGGAGAAAAAAUCAACCUCCACGCUGUAAGAAGCCUCCCAUCUUCUAAGAUAAGAGUUACAUCUCUAAGCAUCAAUACAUUGACUCCCAUUGACCCAAUAAUUUGAUCAAGGAACCAAGUUACCCUAGGGAUAACA
Molecule: ribosomal RNA, 376 nt
Filed under: Ranitomeya summersi
Lineage: Eukaryota; Metazoa; Chordata; Amphibia; Anura; Dendrobatidae
Description: partial 16S ribosomal RNA
Rfam family: Bacterial large subunit ribosomal RNA
Source: RNAcentral